CACUACAAAACAUAGAACUCAAAGUUUAUAAACUCAAAUCAAUUCCCAUAAAAGCAGGUAAGGUAUAAGAUUUAGUCAUUAUAAACUCAAAUCAAUUCCCAUAAAGUUUAUAGAACUCUCGUUCGCCAUUAAUUAAUCUUUAGGCUAACUAACUUAAAUAAAUUUGUAGAUUAUAUGGAAAUCAAAACAUUUCUUGGAUCAUCAUCAGAUCUCACAUUCACUUGUUUUGUUAAGAAAAUAUUUCCAUAAUGGGGGUCCAUAACUUUUACAAGAUAUUCUCCACGGUAAACUUGGCUCUCGUAGACUCCGUUGCUGUUUGUCACUCCCUCCAACUUCUUCGUCUUCCACUCUGUAAGCAGCUUAUCAACUACAU
RNAcentral lists this long non-coding RNA (373 nucleotides) under Panax ginseng (ginseng). RNAcentral's name for it is "long non-coding RNA (PGIN_LNC013094)". Lineage: Eukaryota; Viridiplantae; Streptophyta; Magnoliopsida; Apiales; Araliaceae. The record is from RNAcentral.